GCCGAAUUAGCUCAGCUGGCCAGAGCACGUGAUUUGUAAUCUCGGGGUCGUGGGUUCGAAUCCCUCAUUCGGCU
This 74-nucleotide transfer RNA is filed under the name Clostridiales bacterium. RNAcentral describes it as "tRNA-Thr". It matches the Rfam family "tRNA". From Rfam's summary of the family: Transfer RNA (tRNA) molecules are approximately 80 nucleotides in length. Their secondary structure includes four short double-helical elements and three loops (D, anti-codon, and T loops). Lineage: Bacteria; Bacillati; Bacillota; Clostridia; Eubacteriales. The record is from RNAcentral.